This 331-nucleotide signal recognition particle RNA is filed under the name Otolemur garnettii (small-eared galago). Its description in RNAcentral is "Metazoan signal recognition particle RNA". It matches the Rfam family "Metazoan signal recognition particle RNA". Rfam says of the family: The signal recognition particle (SRP) is a universally conserved ribonucleoprotein. It is involved in the co-translational targeting of proteins to membranes. Lineage: Eukaryota; Metazoa; Chordata; Mammalia; Primates; Galagidae. The record is from Rfam by way of RNAcentral.
GCCAGGCGUUGUGGCGGGCGCCUGUGGUCCCAGCUAUUUGGGAGGCUGAGGCAGGAGACUCGCUUGAGCCCAGGAGUUGGGGGUUGCUGUGAGCUAUGAUGCCACGGCACUCUACCCAGGGGGAUAGCUUGAGGCUCUGUCUCUUAAAAAAAAAAAAAAGGAUUUAUAAGGAGUUACAGGAAUAUUUGAAAUUAGAAAAGCUUAAUUUUUAGAUGAAUUUUUUUUUUUUUUUGAGACAGAGCCUCAAGCUGUUCCCCCUGGGUAGAGUGCCAUGGCUUCACUGCUCACAGCAACCUCCAACUUCUGGGCUCAAGCGAGUCUCCUGUCUCCA